UUCAGUUCGGCUGGAUAGGUGACAGGUGCUGCAUGGCUGUCGUCAGCUCGUGUCGUGAGAUGUUGGGUUAAGUCCCGCAACGAGCGCAACCCUCGCCUUUAGUUGCCAGCAUUUAGUUGGGCACUCUAAAGGAACCGCCAGUGAUAAGCCGGAGGAAGGUGGGGAUGACGUCAAGUCCUCAUGGCCCUUACGCGUUGGGCUACACACGUGCUACAAUGGCGACUACAGUGGGCAGCCACCUCGCGAGAGGGAGCUAAUCUCCAAAAGUCGUCUCAGUUCGGAUCGUUCUCUGCAACUCGAGAGCGUGAAGGCGGAAUCGCUAGUAAUCGCGGAUCAGCAUGCCGCGGUGAAUACGUUCCCAGGCCUUGUACACACCGCCCGUCACACCAUGGGAGUUGGAUUCACUCGAAGGCGUUGAGCUAACCGUAAGGAGGCAGGCGACCACAGUGGGUUUAGCGACUGGGGUGAAGUCGUAACAAGGUAGCCGUAGGGGAACCUGCGGCUGGAUCACCUCCUUA
This 518-nucleotide ribosomal RNA is filed under the name uncultured Sphingobium sp. RNAcentral describes it as "bacterial SSU rRNA". It matches the Rfam family "Bacterial small subunit ribosomal RNA", at positions 1014 to 1533 of the family's 1533-position model. The record is from RNAcentral. Lineage: Bacteria; Pseudomonadati; Pseudomonadota; Alphaproteobacteria; Sphingomonadales; Sphingobiaceae.